CUAAGUUUGAUGGCGACCGGCGCACGGGUGAGUAACACGUAUCCAACCUGCCGAUGACUCGGGGAUAGCCUUUCGAAAGAAAGAUUAAUACCCGAUGACAUAGUUCUUCCGCAUGGUGGAACUAUUAAAGAAUUUCGGUCAUCGAUGGGGAUGCGUUCCAUUAGGUUGUUGGCGGGGUAACGGCCCACCAAGCCUUCGAUGGAUAGGGGUUCUGAGAGGAAGGUCCCCCACAUUGGAACUGAGACACGGUCCAAACUCCUACGGGAGGCAGCAUG
This 275-nucleotide ribosomal RNA is filed under the name uncultured bacterium. RNAcentral describes it as "partial 16S ribosomal RNA". It matches the Rfam family "Bacterial small subunit ribosomal RNA", at positions 79 to 353 of the family's 1533-position model. The record is from RNAcentral.